Molecule: transfer RNA, 87 nt
Organism: Colletotrichum gloeosporioides Cg-14
Lineage: Eukaryota; Fungi; Ascomycota; Sordariomycetes; Glomerellales; Glomerellaceae
Rfam family: tRNA
About the family: Transfer RNA (tRNA) molecules are approximately 80 nucleotides in length. Their secondary structure includes four short double-helical elements and three loops (D, anti-codon, and T loops). Further hydrogen bonds mediate the characteristic L-shaped molecular structure. tRNAs have two regions of fundamental functional importance: the anti-codon, which is responsible for specific mRNA codon recognition, and the 3' end, to which the tRNAs corresponding amino acid is attached (by aminoacyl-tRNA synthetases). tRNAs cope with the degeneracy of the genetic code in two manners: having more than one tRNA (with a specific anti-codon) for a particular amino acid; and 'wobble' base-pairing, i.e. permitting non-standard base-pairing at the 3rd anti-codon position.
Source: Rfam
UCCGAUAUGGUGUAGUGGCCAACAUGAUGCCCUCUCAUCUCAGUGAGAGGUUAGGCAUAGCCCCGAGUUCGAUUCUCGGUUUCGGAA